AAGAAGACGAGAAGAGAGUUUAUCAAACAGACCGGCUGUCGAGCAAAAAGGACAGUCAAGCUGACUAAUAACAAAUGGGUGGUCAUAGGUGUUGUUGCAGACCACAAUCAUAGACUGAUUGACAAGCCAUCUCUCACUAAAUACCUCCGCUCUCACCAAGGCAUCCCGCCAGAAGACGGAAAUAUUGCAUAAAUAUUGCAUAGGUGCAACAUGGACAUAGGUCGCAUGAUGACUGUUAUGUCUGAAUUCUAUGGCCAAGCUGCAAUUGUUCCGUACAUGACGAAAAUGAUAAGCAACAUGAGAACUAGCCUUCGCAGUGCUGAGGCAAAUGAAGGUGAUUUGGCUGAGACAGUUGUCUACUUCGAGCAAAAGCAGGAAGAAGACCCAGGCUUCUUCUUCAAAAUAAAAAAAGAUGGAAUAGGCAGAGCUGAGAAUUUGUUUUGGGUUGAUGGGAGGGCUCGAGAGGUCUACGCAAAAGCUUACAAUGAUUGUAUCUCUUUUGACACGACCUACUUGACGAAUAUGUAUAACAUGCCCUUUGCUCCAUUUAUUGGGAUGAACAGGCAUGGGCAGUCUUUCAUGCUAGGUGUGGCUUCUUGCGGCAAGAGCUUGAGACUAGCUUUGAUUGGUUGUUUGGGGCCUUUCUUGAAGCUAUGCAUGGCAUUGCACCGCUCAACAUCAUAA
This 684-nucleotide ribosomal RNA is filed under the name Triticum aestivum (bread wheat). RNAcentral describes it as "partial small subunit ribosomal RNA". The record is from RNAcentral. Lineage: Eukaryota; Viridiplantae; Streptophyta; Magnoliopsida; Poales; Poaceae.